RNAcentral lists this ribosomal RNA (317 nucleotides) under uncultured bacterium. RNAcentral's name for it is "bacterial SSU rRNA". It matches the Rfam family "Bacterial small subunit ribosomal RNA", at positions 8 to 334 of the family's 1533-position model. The record is from RNAcentral.
AGGGUUUGAUUAUGGCUCAGGAUGAACGCUGACAGAAUGCUUAACACAUGCAAGUCUACUUGAUCCUUCGGGUGAUGGUGGCGGACGGGUGAGUAACGCGUAAAGAACUUGCCCUGCAGUCUGGGACAACAUUUGGAAACGAAUGCUAAUACCGGAUAUUAUGUGAGUUUCGCAUGAAAUUCAUAUGAAAGCUAUAUGCGCUGCAGGAGAGCUUUGCGUCCUAUUAGCUAGUUGGUGAGGUAACGGCUCACCAAGGCGAUGAUAGGUAGCCGGCCUGAGAGGGUGAACGGCCACAAGGGGACUGAGACACGGCCCUU